CAUCCUCUGCGGUGUUCGUCAGCGGGCUGGGUUAACUCUUGACCCUAUAUUCAACCCAGGGGGACAUAAGCGUGAUCGUUGUGUGCAUGUCCGCGUCGUGCGGAAAGCCUGAUACGUCACCGUUGUCCCCACACUUGAACCUACGGUUCAAGGGCGAAGGCCCGUAACGGCACAGGUGGAGGAUGC
RNAcentral lists this non-coding RNA (186 nucleotides) under Gammaproteobacteria bacterium. RNAcentral's name for it is "6S RNA". It matches the Rfam family "6S / SsrS RNA". From Rfam's summary of the family: E. coli 6S RNA was the first non coding RNA to be sequenced, but its function was unknown until recently. It consists of 184 nucleotides that fold into an extended hairpin structure with a large single-stranded internal bulge. The 6S RNA specifically associates with RNA polymerase holoenzyme containing the sigma70 specificity factor. The record is from RNAcentral. Lineage: Bacteria; Pseudomonadati; Pseudomonadota; Gammaproteobacteria.